This is a regulatory RNA element of 109 nucleotides. It matches the Rfam family "pan motif". The record is from Rfam.
AUGGCGGCAUCCUAUGGAGCUGCACGGUCUUUCGUCUUAUAGCUUGAUCGCAAAACUGAAUUGUCAUUUGAAUCGACCGCUUGGAUCUUAACUAGACCGAGACGGAAGG